Arachis stenosperma is the source of this 519-nucleotide long non-coding RNA. RefSeq lists it as uncharacterized. The transcript is spliced from 4 exons. The record is from RefSeq and is a predicted model, not a curated record. NCBI's taxonomy places the organism in Eukaryota, Viridiplantae, Streptophyta, Magnoliopsida, Fabales, Fabaceae.
GUGAGAGAAGGGAGGAAAGAAUGGUUACUAUUCACCUUCUCCUUCAAUUGCUUGUAUCUUGAGUUACGGAGCUCCGAUUGAUGAGCUAUUUGCGACAAUGCGAAACUCUUACCGAAUCCGUCAUUUCUAACCAAGCUUUGCUGGGUGAUUUAGCAUUGGAAUAUUAUUAGGUUUUGCCCCUAAUACCGUCAGACAAGAUUGAAGUUUGGUGUUUAUUGAAGUGAGCUUGGUGGUCUUGAGCUUUGAGAUUAAGCAUGGUGGCCUUUGCUUGGUGGUUUAAGUUGUGUGAGAAUCGACCAAGAUGCAGGUCGCAAAUCCACCUGGAUGAGUUUGCGGACAUGGUGACAGAGAAGAAGAUGGUUUCUCCUUUGUUUUAUUCUUCUUUAUUUUGAUGUAGUUACUCUCUCAACCUUUAUAUUUAUAUAACUUUGUUGCCUUAAAGGCUUUUGCUUUAACCUUUGAGAGAUAGGAAGUAAGCCUUUUGUAAAACUCUGUUGUAUCUCUCGACUAGUCGCCGUA